Molecule: long non-coding RNA, 416 nt
Organism: Dreissena polymorpha
Lineage: Eukaryota; Metazoa; Mollusca; Bivalvia; Myida; Dreissenidae
Exons: 3
Source: RefSeq, a predicted model, not a curated record
ACAGUUUCGGCAGGACGUCCCCCAUCAGAAACAGGUUGGCAGUUUUAAUGUCUGGAUCCACUUUGAUGAUGUUUGGCUUGGCAUGAUGGAGAAAGUGGCGGAAAUUCCACCAAUGGGAAGACGCACCCUAAAAAAAUCACGAAUCAAGUGAUGUGCUAUGUGGUUCAGCUUACGGCUUCUGAACACAGAGAGAUGACCAAAGUCAUGUUGUAGCCAUCCUGCCUGCGCCUGAACAAAAUAUACAUACAAAUUAACACAAGAUUGGCUGGGACAGACAAGCCACAGACACAAUAACAGAAUGGACGGCCCAUUUGUUUUUAUAUACCCUUUUAAAAGGGCGUCAAAAAACAGUACAUGCCCAAUCCUCAAAACAAACCAGAAAGUGAACAUUACCUGGGAGAUGAGGAAACAAGCUG